UACGUAGGGUGCGAGCGUUAAUCGGAAUUACUGGGCGUAAAGCGUGCGUAGGCGGUUCGUUGUGUCUGUGGUGAAAGCCCCGGGCUUAACCUGGGAAUGGCCAUGGAAACUGGCGAGCUGGAGUGUGGCAGAGGGGGGUGGAAUUCCGCGUGUAGCAGUGAAAUGCGUAGAGAUGCGGAGGAACACCGGUGGCGAAGGCGGCAUCCUGGACCAACACUGACACUGAGGAGCGAAAGCUGGGGGAGCAAACGGG
This 253-nucleotide ribosomal RNA is filed under the name uncultured bacterium. Its description in RNAcentral is "partial 16S ribosomal RNA". It matches the Rfam family "Bacterial small subunit ribosomal RNA", at positions 524 to 776 of the family's 1533-position model. The record is from RNAcentral.